Parambassis ranga (Indian glassy fish) is the source of this 50-nucleotide small nuclear RNA. Its record names the gene U2. It matches the Rfam family "U2 spliceosomal RNA". Rfam says of the family: U2 is a small nuclear RNA (snRNA) component of the spliceosome (involved in pre-mRNA splicing). Complementary binding between U2 snRNA (in an area lying towards the 5' end but 3' to hairpin I) and the branchpoint sequence (BPS) of the intron results the bulging out of an unpaired adenosine, on the BPS, which initiates a nucleophilic attack at the intronic 5' splice site, thus starting the first of two transesterification reactions that mediate splicing. The record is from Ensembl. Lineage: Eukaryota; Metazoa; Chordata; Actinopteri; Ambassidae.
AUCGCUUUCUCGGCCUUUUGGCUAAGAUCAAGUGUAGUAUGUUCUUAUCA